GCGCAAGAGAUUUAGUCUGUGGCGAAGCUUCGAGGCGGCCAGUACUGUUGAGUGCGACAAGCAGAGGCGCCGCCUUAGCGGCCUGGACUCAAAAACAAUGGCGGCUAUUGAUACAGAACGAGAUGGAUUAGCCCCAGAAAAGACAUCGCCAGAUAGAGAAAAGAAGAAAGAACAGUCAGAUAUAUCUGUUUCUCCUAGAGCCUCAAAACAUCAUUAUUCAAGGUCGAGGUCAAGGUCAAGAGAAAGAAAACGAAAGUCAGAUAAUGAUGGGAGAAAGCACAGGAGCCGGAGCAGAAGCAAAGAGGCAAGAAGACAUGAAUCCAAAGAUAAGUCCUCUAAGAGACACAAGUCUGAGGAGCACAAUGACAAAGAACAUUCUUCUGACAAAGGAAGAGAGCGAUUAAAUUCAUCUGAGAAUGGUGAGGACAGACAUAAACGCAAAGAAAGGAAGUCGUCACGGGGCAGAAGUCACUCGAGGUCUAGAUCUCGUGAGAGGCGCCAUCGCAGUAGAAGCAGGGAAAGGAAGAAGUCUCGGUCAAGGAGUAGGGAUCGGAAAAAAUCUCGAUCCAGAAGCAGAGACAGGAAGAAGUCAAGAUCCAGAAGCAGGGAUAGAAAACGGAGGAUCAGAACACGUUCCCGGUCAAGAUCCAGACACAGGCAUAGGACUAGAAGCAGGAGCAGAUCACGGAGUCGAAGUCGAUAGAAAGAAGAGAAUCGAAAAACCAAGAAGAUUUAGCAGAAGC
Molecule: long non-coding RNA, 743 nt
Filed under: Rattus norvegicus (Norway rat)
Lineage: Eukaryota; Metazoa; Chordata; Mammalia; Rodentia; Muridae
Description: long non-coding RNA NONRATT007489
Source: RNAcentral